This 1000-nucleotide ribosomal RNA is filed under the name uncultured archaeon. Its description in RNAcentral is "bacterial SSU rRNA". It matches the Rfam family "Archaeal small subunit ribosomal RNA", at positions 1 to 946 of the family's 1478-position model. The record is from RNAcentral.
UUCCGGGUGAUCCCGCCGGACCCGACUGCUAUUUGGGUGAGGAUAAGCCAUGCGAGUUGAAUGGGAUACCUAAAUUUCCCAUAGCAAACUGCUCAGUAACACAUGAUCAACUUACCCUGUGGAGAAAAAUAACCUCGGGAAAGUAUCAUAGUAGUUUAAACAAGAUUAUGAUACCCCGAAACUGAGGAUAAUGUUUCAUAAUUGAAUAGGCUUGGAAAAGUUUUUCAAUGAAAGGGAUGCCAAAAAUGGUUCGUAUUCGCCAUAGGAUAGGAUCGUGGUCGAUUAUGGUUGUUGGUGAGGUAAAGGCUCACCAAGCCGAUAAUCGAUAGGGGCCGUGAGAGCGGGAGCCCCGAGAUGGGUACUGAGACAACGACCCAGGCCUUACGAGGCGCAGCAGGCGCGGAACCUCCGCAAUACACGAAAGUGUGACGGGGUUACCCAAAGUGUUCUAUUUAGAACUGUGGUAGGUGAGUAAUGUCCCCUACUAGAAAGGAGAGGGCAAGGCUGGUGCCAGCCGCCGCGGUAAAACCAGCUCUUCAAGUGGUCGGGAUAAUUAUUGGGCUUAAAGUGUCCGUAGCCGGUUUAGUUAGUUCCUGGUAAAAUCGGGUAGCUUAACUAUCUGUGUGCUAGGAAUACUGCUAUACUAGAGGGCGGGAGAGGUCUGAGGUACUACAGGGGUAGGGGUGAAAUCUUAUAAUCCUUGUAGGACCACCAGUGGCGAAGGCGUCAGACUGGAACGUGCCUGACGGUGAGGGACGAAAGCCAGGGGAGCGAACCGGAUUAGAUACCCGGGUAGUCCUGGCCGUAAACGAUGCAUUCUAAGUGAUGGCACGGCCAUGAGCCGUGUCAGUGCUGUAGGGAAACCGUUAAGAGUGCCGCCUGGGAAGUACGGUCGCAAGGCUAAAACUUAAAGGAAUUGGCGGGGGGAGCACCACAAGGGUGAAGCCUGCGGGUUCAAUUGGAUUCAACGCCGGAAAUCACUAGUGCGGCCGCCUGCAGU